Molecule: transfer RNA, 72 nt
Organism: Loxodonta africana (African savanna elephant)
Lineage: Eukaryota; Metazoa; Chordata; Mammalia; Proboscidea; Elephantidae
Rfam family: tRNA
About the family: Transfer RNA (tRNA) molecules are approximately 80 nucleotides in length.
Source: Rfam
ACCCUAGUGGCAUAGUGGUUAAGUGCUAUGGCUGCUAACCAAGAGGUCGGCAGUUCGAAUCUGCCAGGGGUU